Molecule: ribosomal RNA, 428 nt
Filed under: Bacteroidota bacterium
Lineage: Bacteria; Pseudomonadati; Bacteroidota
Description: Bacteroidetes bacterium partial 16S ribosomal RNA
Rfam family: Bacterial small subunit ribosomal RNA
Source: RNAcentral
UAGGGAAUCUUCCGCAAUGGACGCAAGUCUGACGGAGCAACGCCGCGUGAGUGAAGAAGGAUUUCGGUUCGUAAAACUCUGUUGUUAGAGAAGAACAGCGCAUAGAGUAACUGUUAUGCGUGUGACGGUAUCUAACCAGAAAGCCACGGCUAACUACGUGCCAGCAGCCGCGGUAAUACGUAGGUGGCAAGCGUUGUCCGGAUUUAUUGGGCGUAAAGCGAGCGCAGGCGGUUAGAUAAGUCUGAAGUUAAAGGCAGUGGCUCAACCAUUGUAGGCUUUGGAAACUGUUUAACUUGGGUGCAGAAGGGGAGAGUGGAAUUCCAUGUGUAGGGGUGAAAUGCGUAGAUAUAUGGAGGAACACCGGUGGCGAAAGCGGCUCUCUGGUCUGUAACUGACGCUGAGGCUCGAAAGCGUGGGGAGCGAACAGG